Long non-coding RNA from Chrysemys picta bellii (western painted turtle), 950 nucleotides. RefSeq lists it as uncharacterized. The record is from RefSeq and is a predicted model, not a curated record. NCBI's taxonomy places the organism in Eukaryota, Metazoa, Chordata, Testudines, Emydidae.
AGCAGUCCCUGCUUUGGAUGCAUCUGUUCCUACUGGCUGGAGUCUCUGGCUGACUCCUUUCUGCAAUGCACGAAUACUCUGCUUCAUCAGAUUCAGAACAAUCACAGAUGGUGUUACAUAUACUUGGAGGAAAAACAUCUAUUUCUCCUACUGUAGAGCAGUCUACUUAAUGAUUACAAACUUAAAUCCUUGGAUAUCAAUUUCCAUCUCUAUUCUGGAUGAUCUCGUUUUCUGCAGGGUGAGACGGAUCUGUGGACCUUAUUACCAGAAGAAAGGAAAUUUUCAGGAGGAAGAGUUUGAGUCUUGCCGCCUCCAUCUUCUGAGUACAAGAAUGAUGAACAUUUGGAGCAACACUUCACGACAUGUCCCUCUCCUAGGUAAAUGAGACAUCUCCUAGAUCAUGUUGCUUGAAUAGACAAGGAUUUUCUAUCAAUGACACAUGGGUCAAAGGCCCUGCCAGAAUUUCAAACUAUGCUAUCGUUGCUAAGGACAGAAUCUUUUGCUGAUUGAAAAACUAUGAGAUGAGCUGAAAUCAGACUAUUCAAGAUAACUGUCCUCAGAAUUUGUAAGAGGGGGAGAGGGGACACAGCAUCUGCUGUGCCAGGCCAUCAUCUCUGGAACUGGAUUCCUCAGUUGGACCAAAAGAAACAGAAUUUACUGACCUACAGGGCAUCCUGCAUGACUUAUUUAUUUACACACAUCUUUUUGGAGAAGGUUCACACAAAAAGUUGACAAAACCCAGAACUUGGCUGAAUUUUUUAUGGUAUUUAUCUCAACACCACACUUUAUUAUCUUCAAAGACUGUUGCCAAGAUUUCAGUGGUUUGAACCAAAGGUUAACCAAAUGUUAUAGCAACGAAAUGACUAAGCAACUAUGAUUCUGUUUCUGGGCUCUUGGUUGCUGUUUUAGAGAUGACAGCAUGUGAAAGAUUAAUAAAAUACUUUAUAUUC